GGAGGAAAAGAAACUAACAAGGAUUCCCCCAGUAACGGCGAGUGAAGCGGAAGAGCUCAAGCUUAAAAUCUCCAUGUUUAUCAUGGCGAAUUGUAGUCUAUUGAGGCUGUUGUCAGCAUAGCGAUUUGGGAUAAGUCCCUUGGAAAAGGGCAGCAUAGAGGGUGAUACUCCCGUCUUUGCUCAGAUUGUCUAUGUGUACGAUACGCUUUCUUUGAGUCGAGUUGUUUGGGAAUACAGCUCAAAGUAGGUGGUAAAUUCCAUCUAAAGCUAAAUAUUGGUGCGAGACCGAUAGCGAACAAGUACCGUGAGGGAAAGAUGAAAAGAACUUUGAAAAGAGAGUUAAAGAGUACCUGAAACUGUUGAAAGGGAACCGUAACAUGUCCAGUGUUGUAUCUUGUGCAUAUUUCAUUAGUGGAGUAAUUUACUGGUGCCCUGUGCAUGAGUGUGACGUCAAAGUCAGUUUGUAUGCUGCGGGAGAUGGAUAAUAAGGAGGUGCGUCACUUUUGUGUCAGUUAUACCUUGUUAUCUAGUAGCCGUGGUUGAGACUGAGGUGCCUACAACAUGCUUUUAAAGUAUAUUGUUGUCUCGUUAUUAUAUCUGUUUGGAUAGCUUGCUAUGCUGGUGGACUAUAGUGGCGAUUGAUGAUAGUAUGAACUUUUUGCUGUUC
This 667-nucleotide ribosomal RNA is filed under the name Achlya crenulata. RNAcentral's name for it is "LSU rRNA". It matches the Rfam family "Eukaryotic large subunit ribosomal RNA", at positions 52 to 623 of the family's 3401-position model. Lineage: Eukaryota; Oomycota; Saprolegniomycetes; Saprolegniales; Achlyaceae. The record is from RNAcentral.